Molecule: ribosomal RNA, 1490 nt
Filed under: Lactiplantibacillus plantarum
Lineage: Bacteria; Bacillati; Bacillota; Bacilli; Lactobacillales; Lactobacillaceae
Description: bacterial SSU rRNA
Rfam family: Bacterial small subunit ribosomal RNA
Source: RNAcentral
UGGGUGCCUUAUAAUGCAGUCCGAACGAACUCCUGGUAUUGAUUGGUGCUUGCAUCAUGAUUUACAUUUGAGUGAGUGGCGAACUGGUGAGUAACACGUGGGAAACCUGCCCAGAAGCGGGGGAUAACACCUGGAAACAGAUGCUAAUACCGCAUAACAACUUGGACCGCAUGGUCCGAGCUUGAAAGAUGGCUUCGGCUAUCACUUUUGGAUGGUCCCGCGGCGUAUUAGCUAGAUGGUGGGGUAACGGCUCACCAUGGCAAUGAUACGUAGCCGACCUGAGAGGGUAAUCGGCCACAUUGGGACUGAGACACGGCCCAAACUCCUACGGGAGGCAGCAGUAGGGAAUCUUCCACAAUGGACGAAAGUCUGAUGGAGCAACGCCGCGUGAGUGAAGAAGGGUUUCGGCUCGUAAAACUCUGUUGUUAAAGAAGAACAUAUCUGAGAGUAACUGUUCAGGUAUUGACGGUAUUUAACCAGAAAGCCACGGCUAACUACGUGCCAGCAGCCGCGGUAAUACGUAGGUGGCAAGCGUUGUCCGGAUUUAUUGGGCGUAAAGCGAGCGCAGGCGGUUUUUUAAGUCUGAUGUGAAAGCCUUCGGCUCAACCGAAGAAGUGCAUCGGAAACUGGGAAACUUGAGUGCAGAAGAGGACAGUGGAACUCCAUGUGUAGCGGUGAAAUGCGUAGAUAUAUGGAAGAACACCAGUGGCGAAGGCGGCUGUCUGGUCUGUAACUGACGCUGAGGCUCGAAAGUAUGGGUAGCAAACAGGAUUAGAUACCCUGGUAGUCCAUACCGUAAACGAUGAAUGCUAAGUGUUGGAGGGUUUCCGCCCUUCAGUGCUGCAGCUAACGCAUUAAGCAUUCCGCCUGGGGAGUACGGCCGCAAGGCUGAAACUCAAAGGAAUUGACGGGGGCCCGCACAAGCGGUGGAGCAUGUGGUUUAAUUCGAAGCUACGCGAAGAACCUUACCAGGUCUUGACAUACUAUGCAAAUCUAAGAGAUUAGACGUUCCCUUCGGGGACAUGGAUACAGGUGGUGCAUGGUUGUCGUCAGCUCGUGUCGUGAGAUGUUGGGUUAAGUCCCGCAACGAGCGCAACCCUUAUUAUCAGUUGCCAGCAUUAAGUUGGGCACUCUGGUGAGACUGCCGGUGACAAACCGGAGGAAGGUGGGGAUGACGUCAAAUCAUCAUGCCCCUUAUGACCUGGGCUACACACGUGCUACAAUGGAUGGUACAACGAGUUGCGAACUCGCGAGAGUAAGCUAAUCUCUUAAAGCCAUUCUCAGUUCGGAUUGUAGGCUGCAACUCGCCUACAUGAAGUCGGAAUCGCUAGUAAUCGCGGAUCAGCAUGCCGCGGUGAAUACGUUCCCGGGCCUUGUACACACCGCCCGUCACACCAUGAGAGUUUGUAACACCCAAAGUCGGUGGGGUAACCUUUUAGGAACCAGCCGCCUAAGGUGGGACAGAUGAUUAGGGUGAAGUCGUAACAAGA